Molecule: long non-coding RNA, 1227 nt
Organism: Herpailurus yagouaroundi (jaguarundi)
Lineage: Eukaryota; Metazoa; Chordata; Mammalia; Carnivora; Felidae
Exons: 3
Source: RefSeq, a predicted model, not a curated record
UUGGGUCGCCGAGCGAGAUGACUGGGUGCGCCCAGAUAAACAAGUCAGACACGCAGUCGGUAGUAAGGGAUGGGCCCAAAACGGCAGGGCCAAGGCGAGGGAGCAUUUUUGUUACCGAAAAGCCCCUGAAGCAAUAAUUGAAGAACAUUAGGUUAGCUGAAAAGCAUUUGGCUCGCUGAGAAGGUCGGCUUGGGUGUUUUGUGUUUGCAGGGCAGCACCUGUUGUAAUGUCCCUGUAGACGCCUGUAGACGUUUUACCCCCACACCUCCAUUUUUUAAACAUUUUUCUCGCAUGGAGAAUUGGUUGGUGAUUUGGCCGGCUAGAGAUAUCCGAUUGAUCUGCUGCUGAUCCUCCAUCUAGGUUUCAGGAUCCGACCGGACCUCUGUGUGACUGAAAUGAACCACCUGUUACCUUCAAAUACAAGUGAGGAAAAGGUCGAGUGAAGACAAUAGAUCAAUCCCUUUGGCAACAGGCAUCGGGCUAAAUACUGAGCCUACAAAGUGAGUGCAAUACUGUCCCUGCCUUCAAGAAGCUUACAAUCUAGUAGAGGACACAGGCAUGUAAAUACAUAAGCACAGUUGAGAGAGAUGCUUGCGAUAAAGGGAGACAUGCGGAGAGCUGGAAUAGAGGAAUUGAAGGGGUUGGUGGAGCACAAGGGGACCGCAGCGUGUUGAGGAGGAAAUGCAGGGUGUGAAGAAAGAAUACUUAAGAUGCUCCUUCUUGCCACCCUGUCACAGUCCAUUAUCUGCCUGGCUGCUGCAUUGCAAAUAUAGCGUGAAUGACAAAAUAAAGCCACUGCGUGUGCCCGUGGUUCCUCACCCUGGACACCUACACUUGGAGUGUGGAAUUCUAACUCUUUCGCCUGGUAUGUGAGACUCGGCCUAAGCUGGCUUCCUGCCCAGAUUUAUCUAUUGCCACUCUUCUCACUGACUCGACUGGUCGGAACGGAAUGUGUUCUCAACACGCUGCGGCUUUUCCUUGCUCCUGGGAUGCCCUCCCCAUUGCAGGGUCUCCCUGUCAGGAUUCAGCCAAAAUGGAACAACCUCUCUGAAGUCUUCCUCAAUGUCACCUUCAGUCUGGGUGAAUGAGCACACAAAAGGCCAAAGGCACCUGCAUCAGGCAGCUGGGAGGAGCUCAUUUCUAAACAGCUUGAACCUAGGGGCGCCUGGGUGGCUCAGUCGGUUGAGCGUCCAACUUCGGCUCAGGUCACGAUCUCCCGGUUCGUGG